RNAcentral lists this ribosomal RNA (195 nucleotides) under Triticum aestivum (bread wheat). Its description in RNAcentral is "partial small subunit ribosomal RNA". Lineage: Eukaryota; Viridiplantae; Streptophyta; Magnoliopsida; Poales; Poaceae. The record is from RNAcentral.
AUGUCUCAACUUCCAAUGAGAAACCUUGUGAACAACCUAGGCACCAUCGCGCGCUUGGGCACCAAGGAGUUCAUGGAGGCGCUGCAGGCGGGGGUGGGCGUGAGCAUGAUCGGCCAGUUUGGGGUCGGCUUCUACUUGGCCUACCUCGUUGCCGACAAGGUGGUGCUCAUCACCAAGCACAAUGACAAUGAGUAG